GACGAAUGCUGGUGGCGUGCCUAGUAUAUGCAAGUUGAACGCACAGUUUAUACCGUAGCUUGCUACACCAUAGACUGUGAGUUGCGAACGGGUGAGUAACGCGUGGGUAACCUGCCUGGUAGCGGCGGAUAACUAUUGGAAACGAUAGCUAAUACCGCAUCAUAUUGAUUAUUGCAUGAUAAUUGAUUGAAAGCUGCUAUUGCAUCACUACCAGAUGGACUUGCGUUUUAUUAGCUAGUAGGUGAGGUAACGGCUCACCUAGGCGACGCUACAUAGCCGACCGCAGAGGGCGAUAGGCCACACUGAGACUGAGACACGGCCCAGACGCCUACGGGAGGCAGCAGUAGGGAAUCUUCGGCAAUGGACGACAGUCUGACCGAGCAACGCCGCGUCAGUGAAGAAGGUUUUAGGAUCAUAAAGCUCUGUUGUAAGACAAGAACGGGUGUGAGCAUGGAAAGUUCACACUGUGACGAUAGCUUACCAGAAAGGGGCGGCUAGAUACGAC
Molecule: ribosomal RNA, 505 nt
Filed under: uncultured bacterium
Lineage: Bacteria
Description: partial 16S ribosomal RNA
Rfam family: Bacterial small subunit ribosomal RNA
Source: RNAcentral